This 460-nucleotide ribosomal RNA is filed under the name uncultured bacterium. RNAcentral describes it as "partial 16S ribosomal RNA". It matches the Rfam family "Bacterial small subunit ribosomal RNA", at positions 338 to 795 of the family's 1533-position model. The record is from RNAcentral.
CCUACGGGUGGCAGCAGUGAGGAAUAUUGGUCAAUGGGCGUAAGCCUGACCCAGCAAAGUCGCGUGAGUGAUGAAGGUUCUAUGGUUCUUAAAUCUCUUUUUUAAGGGAAUAAAGUGUGGGGCUUGUCUCGUUUUAUAUGUACCUUAUCAAUAUGGCACGGCUAACUCCGGUCCAGCAGCCGCGGUAAUACGGAGGAUCCGCGCGUUGUCCGGAUUUAUUGGGUUUAAAGGGGGCGUAGGCGGCCUUUUAAGUCAGUGGUGAAAGUCUGUGGCUCAACCAUAGAAUUGCAGUUGAAACUGGAGGGCUUGAGUAUGUUAGAGGCAGGCGGAAUGCGUGGUGUAGCGGUGAAAUGCUUAGAUAUCACGCAGAACCCCAAUUGCGAAGGCAGCCUGCCAGGCCAUGACUGACGCUGAGGCACGAAAGCGUGGGGAGCAAACAGGAUUAGAUACCCCGGUAGUC